AUGUCAGCAGCCGCGGUAAUACGGAGGGUGCAAGCGUAAUCCGGAUUCACUGGGCUUAAAGGGUGCGUAGGCGGGUAUUUAAGUCAGUGGUGAAAUCCUAGAGCUUAACUCUAGAACUGCCAUUGAUACUAUUUAUCUUGAAUAUUGUGGAGGUAAGCGGAAUAUGUCAUGUAGCGGUGAAAUGCUUAGAUAUGACAUAGAACACCUAUUGCGAAGGCAGCUUACUACGCAUAUAUUGACGCUGAGGCACGAAAGCGUGGGGAUCAAACAGGAUUAGAUACCCUGGUAGUCCACGCCCUAAACGAUGGAUACUCGACAUACGCGAUACACUGUGUGUGUCUGAGCGAAAGCAUUAAGUAUCCCACCUGGGAAGUACGACCGCAAGGUUGAAACUUAAAGGAAUUGACGGGG
Molecule: ribosomal RNA, 411 nt
Filed under: uncultured prokaryote
Description: bacterial SSU rRNA
Rfam family: Bacterial small subunit ribosomal RNA
Source: RNAcentral